RNAcentral lists this ribosomal RNA (615 nucleotides) under uncultured bacterium. RNAcentral's name for it is "bacterial SSU rRNA". The stretch from base 1 to 520 matches the Rfam family "Bacterial small subunit ribosomal RNA", at positions 338 to 873 of the family's 1533-position model. The record is from RNAcentral.
CCUACGGGAGGCAGCAGUGGGGAAUAUUGGGCAAUGGAGGAAACUCUGACCCAGCGACGCCGCGUGCGGGAUGAAGGCCUUCGGGUUGUAAACCGCUUUCAGCAGGGAAGAAGCGAAAGUGACGGUACCUGCAGAAGAAGCACCGGCUAACUAUGUGCCAGCAGCCGCGGUAAUACAUAGGGUGCAAGCGUUGUCCGGAAUUAUUGGGCGUAAAGAGCUCGUAGGUGGUUCGUCACGUCGGAUGUGAAAAUCUGGGGCUUAACCCCAGACCUGCAUUCGAUACGGGCGAGCUUGAGUAUGGUAGGGGAGUCUGGAAUUCCUGGUGUAGCGGUGGAAUGCGCAGAUAUCAGGAGGAACACCAAUGGCGAAGGCAGGACUCUGGGCCAUUACUGACACUGAGGAGCGAAAGCGUGGGGAGCGAACAGGAUUAGAUACCCUGGUAGUCCACGCCGUAAACGGUGGGCACUAGUUGUGGGGACCUUCCACGGUCUCUGCGACGCNGCUACGCAUAGUGUCCGCCGUCGGGAGGUACGAGUCGCGAGAAGUAAACGUAACGUAAAGUUAAAGUUAGUACGGACGUUGAGACGCGCCGACGGACGACGACGAGGGAGGAGG